CCUACGGGAGGCAGCAGUGGGGAAUAUUGCACAAUGGGGGGAACCCUGAUGCAGCAACGCCGCGGGGGGGAAGAAGGACGCCGGGAGGGAAAGCCCUGUCAGCAGGGAAGAAAAUGACGGUACCUGACCAAGAAGCCCCGGCUAACUACGUGCCAGCAGCAGCGGUAAUACGCAGGGGGCAAGCGUUAUCCGGAUUGACUGGGUGUAAAGGGAGCGUAGACGGCAAGGCAAGUCUGGAGUGAAAGCCCGUGGCCCAACCACGGGACUGCUUUGGAAACUGUGUUGCUGGAGUGCAGGAGGGGUAAGCGGAAUUCCUGGUGUAGCGGUGAAAUGCGUAGAUAUUAGGAGGAACCCCGGUGGCGAAGGCGGCUUACUGGACUGUAACUGACGUUGAGGCUCGAAGGCGUGGGGAGCAAACAGGAUUAGAUACCCGUGUAGUC
This 440-nucleotide ribosomal RNA is filed under the name uncultured bacterium. Its description in RNAcentral is "partial 16S ribosomal RNA". It matches the Rfam family "Bacterial small subunit ribosomal RNA", at positions 338 to 795 of the family's 1533-position model. The record is from RNAcentral.